AAUAUAUUUAAGCACGUGCGAAGCAUGAGUGGUUAAGGCGACAUGAUCUUAAUCAUUUGGUAAUGGUGGACAUGUGGCUCGUCCUUUGGAGAGGCUAUUUUAGUUGAUGAAUCUUAGGAUUGGGAAGGUUUCACGUGAGGCUUAGGGAAGUAAUGUAGUUACUGAGUUGAGGCAUUAGUAUAAGUAUUAGUUGCAAUUAUUUUCUUUUCCUUUACCAUUAUUGUUUCACUUCUCAUUGCACUUUCAGAUACAUAAUCGCCCAAAAUUUUGCGUUGCACUUUUCUCUCUUGCAAAUGAUUUUUUUGCACCUUAUCUUCUUGAAUUCGAUUUUGAAAAUCAUUCAACUUUUGUACCUUUAUUUCUUGAGUCUCCUUUUGCUUAUCAUCAUUAACAUUGUCAUGUUCUAAAUAUUAUGGGAUUGGAAUAAAAUGAGAGUGUGGGUUUGUUCCAUAGUAUGCUCUUAACUUGGACAAGUGAAAAAAUAAGGUGUAUGUUUAACGACUUUGGAAGGUACUAUUUGUAAGCUACUAAACCAACACACUGAAGCAUCUUGAGAGGACCAAAAUAUUUUUUUGAAAGUUUCUGAGAUAAGUCACAAUUUUCAAAGGCAUUGUUGAUCUUGUCUUUAUUUGCUUGAUCUGACAUUUUUUGUUGAUUUCUCUUCAAGUUGUCCUUUAAAGUGUUACAUAUUUAUUAUUUGUUUUUCAAAAUAGUUUUUAUAGCAAACAAGGUAAAAAAACCUUAUACAUAGUUUGGGAGAGCCGGGUGUGGGAAUCCAUAAAAGGCUUCAAAAGAAGAUAUCUUGAUGGCCAAGUGAAAAGAAGUAUUAUACCAAUAUCCAGCCCGAUGCAAAUACUUGUACCACAUGAGUGGAUGAUCACUUGCAAAAUAGUGGAGGCCACAAAUCUCAACAGAAAAAUGUUUGGUGAGACUAUGGGCAGAGAACUUGGUUAGAAAUGCAACAAAGUGAACAAGCUUUGUAAGGCGGUCACAAAUGAUCCAUAUCAUUGUACGCUCAAAAGAUGAAGAUCUGGGAGUGUUAUACAAAAAUCUUGACAUCCUUCUGAAUUACCGACCAAAGGAAGGAUGCUGAAAGGAGAGCUACUGUUGGUUGAAGUCCUGAGUGACCUGCAGUAGGAGUUAAAUGGUACUUGUGGAUGAUAUCAUGUUAAAGCUCUUCCAUCAGUGGUAUGAAAGUUUUGUCCUUAUAAUAUAAAAUAUGAUCUUUUAAUCUAAACAGUUGUUGCAUGUGCGGGUCUGAACGAUAUUUUGCCAUCAAUUUCUGACCCUCCUUUUGUUUGUAAUAGUAUUUCCUGAGUUGAUCUAGAAGUAACGAGACCGGCUAUGAUAUUUUAAGCAAGAUAGAUUUGUCCUAUAUGUGUUUUCGGCUAAGUGCAUUAGCCACCUAAUUUGCCUUCCCAGAUUUGUAGAAUAUUUUGAAACUGAAACCUUUUGGCUUUGAGUCCCAUUUUUGUUGUUCUAGGUUCGAAUUGUUUAGACCAACAAAAAUUUAAAACUCUUUUGGUAUGUGAAUAUGUGAAAAUGCCUUCUAAUUAAAUAUUGAUGCUAUUUUUUACAACUUAUGUCAUGGUGUACAUCUCGCGAACAUAUACAGACGAAGCUUGCAUAUUGCUGCACAUCUUUUUGUUGCAGAAUUCCAAAGGGGGACCCUCUUGAGAUAAAACAUCACCGGUAGCCACAACACAUACACAUAUAUGUUUCAAGUAUGAAGAUAUUGGAAAAGUCUGGAAGAGCCAAAAUUGGAGUUUCAGACAUUUAUCUUUAAAGUGUUGUAAAUGUUGUAUUGGAUAAUGUACUCCAUGAAAACUAACAAAUUAGUGAGUGGAGCAGCGUGAGAGGAGUAAUGGCAGACAAAUUGUCAAUAAAAGUCGGUGACACCUAAAAAACCCUUGAGCA
This is a long non-coding RNA of Lathyrus oleraceus (garden pea), 1917 nucleotides long. RefSeq lists it as uncharacterized. The record is from RefSeq and is a predicted model, not a curated record. The transcript is spliced from 3 exons. Lineage: Eukaryota; Viridiplantae; Streptophyta; Magnoliopsida; Fabales; Fabaceae.